RNAcentral lists this ribosomal RNA (286 nucleotides) under uncultured bacterium. Its description in RNAcentral is "partial 16S ribosomal RNA". It matches the Rfam family "Bacterial small subunit ribosomal RNA", at positions 330 to 635 of the family's 1533-position model. The record is from RNAcentral.
UUCGGCCUACGGGGGGCAGCAGUGGGGAAUAUUGCACAAUGGGGGGAACCCUGAUGCAGCGACGCCGCGUGAGUGAAGAAGUAUUUCGGUAUGUAAAGCCCUAUCGGCAGGGAAGAAGCAAGACGGUACCUGACCAAGAAGCCCCGGCUAACUACGGGCCAGCAGCCGCGGUAAUACGUAGGGGGCGAGCGUUAUCCGGAUUCACUGGGUGUAAAGGGAGCGUAGACGGCCAUGCAAGCCAGGGGUGAAAGCCCGGGGCCCAACCCCGGGACUGCCCUUGGAACUG